This 126-nucleotide ribosomal RNA is filed under the name Escherichia coli. RNAcentral's name for it is "partial 23S ribosomal RNA". It matches the Rfam family "Bacterial large subunit ribosomal RNA", at positions 1 to 115 of the family's 2925-position model. Lineage: Bacteria; Pseudomonadati; Pseudomonadota; Gammaproteobacteria; Enterobacterales; Enterobacteriaceae. The record is from RNAcentral.
GGGUUGUGAGGUUAAGCGACUAAGCGUACACGGUGGAUGCCCUGGCAGUCAGAGGCGAUGAAGGACGUGCUAAUCUGCGAUAAGCGUCGGUAAGGUGAUAUGAACCGUUAUAAACCGGCGAUUUCC